RNAcentral lists this long non-coding RNA (448 nucleotides) under Bos taurus (domestic cattle). RNAcentral's name for it is "long non-coding RNA NONBTAT010817". The record is from RNAcentral. Lineage: Eukaryota; Metazoa; Chordata; Mammalia; Artiodactyla; Bovidae.
GCAGGGAAUGUGAUAGAGGCAUCAUUUCAGCUGAGUCCGUCAUUCUUUCUUUGGCUAGUGAGCACAAUGUGGAAAUGUUAGGGUUUUCUGAGCAGUGUCCUCCAUUGGCUUCCUGCAUUGGCUUUCACCCCUGCGCUCGCCUGGCAAUGCCCUGAACAGCUGCUAUUCACAGAGCAUAAAGUCGGGGAGAAAUGACAGAAGACGACAGAGAGGAGCUGCCUUUUGUAACAUCAAUUCUUAGAGGGGCUGGUUUUCAGCUGCAUGCACCAGCCAGUUGGCGGGGAGUGCGGCGAGGGUGUUCUUUUCAUCCAUGACCUAUUUCUACUUGGUCUUAUAGGAAAAUCAUAAUCUUACUGAUGACAGAGACAGAGUAUGUGAUGCCCCAAAUUCAGAAUCAUCACAAGGCUGAGCAGAAGGAUAAACAAGUGUAAUAAAUAGAAUCCAAAUG